CGUUCUCAUUUGAACCCAAACGGACUAUAAGUGUGCGAAAUACGUUCCUGCACCAGAAUGUCGUGCAAGUCGAGCUCUAAACAAUCACGUGCAAUGUAAAACCACGUGAUUUAAACUGCCAUUACAGCAAAUGAAUUGCGACAAGGAGAUGCUCUUGACUUCUCAGCGAGCUGCGACGAUUCUGUUCCAGGCCGGAGUGCAUUUUGAAGCAAACUGGCCAUCUGAUGAUUCAAGUGACCCUGAGGAGAAUGGGAAGGGGGAAGGAGAUCUCGCCGGUUCCAAUUUCUUAACUGCAGUGUGCAGAUAUUGUAAAUAAAAUAAAUCAUUUUGAAUG
Long non-coding RNA from Haliotis rubra (blacklip abalone), 334 nucleotides. RefSeq lists it as uncharacterized. The transcript is spliced from 2 exons. Lineage: Eukaryota; Metazoa; Mollusca; Gastropoda; Lepetellida; Haliotidae. The record is from RefSeq and is a predicted model, not a curated record.